UACGUAGGGGGCUAGCGUUGUCCGGAAUCAUUGGGCGUAAAGCGCGUGUAGGCGGUCCGGUAAGUCCGCUGUGAAAGUCGAGGGCUCAACCCUCGAAUGCCGGUGGAUACUGUCGGGCUUGAGUACGGGAGAGGCGAGUGGAAUUCCUGGUGUAGCGGUGAAAUGCGCAGAUAUCAGGAGGAACACCGAUUGCGAAGGCAGCUCGCUGGAACGUUACUGACGCUGAGGAGCGAAAGUGUGGGGAGCGAACAGG
This 253-nucleotide ribosomal RNA is filed under the name uncultured bacterium. Its description in RNAcentral is "partial 16S ribosomal RNA". It matches the Rfam family "Bacterial small subunit ribosomal RNA", at positions 524 to 776 of the family's 1533-position model. The record is from RNAcentral.